AGUGAACGCUGGCGGUAGGCCUAACACAUGCAAGUCGAACGGCAGCACAGUAAGAGCUUGCUCUUACGGGUGGCGAGUGGCGGACGGGUGAGGAAUACAUCGGAAUCUACUUUUUCGUGGGGGAUAACGUAGGGAAACUUACGCUAAUACCGCAUACGACCUACGGGUGAAAGCAGGGGAUCUUCGGACCUUGCGCGAUUGAAUGAGCCGAUGUCGGAUUAGCUAGUUGGCGGGGUAAAGGCCCACCAAGGCGACGAUCCGUAGCUGGUCUGAGAGGAUGAUCAGCCACACUGGAACUGAGACACGGUCCAGACUCCUACGGGAGGCAGCAGUGGGGAAUAUUGGACAAUGGGCGGAAGCCUGAUCCAGCCAUACCGCGUGGGUGAAGAAGGCCUUCGGGCUGUAAAGCCCUUUUGUUGGGAAAGAAAAGCAGCAGGUUAAUACCCCGCUGUUCUGACGGUACCCAAAGAAUAAGCACCGGCUAACUUCGUG
This 492-nucleotide ribosomal RNA is filed under the name uncultured bacterium. RNAcentral's name for it is "partial 16S ribosomal RNA". It matches the Rfam family "Bacterial small subunit ribosomal RNA", at positions 29 to 507 of the family's 1533-position model. The record is from RNAcentral.